GUCAGUGCAGUAGUUUGACCACCAUCUUGAUUGCAUGGGCAUCAAGUAUAAGGACAAUUGAUUUUAGUGCAAGUGAGAGAUUGAAAGAAUAAUGCCCUAUAAGCCAGUCGCAUAUGGGAUGCGAUAGAGUAUUUUUUAUAAUUUAUCUUUCAAACUCAUGUAAUUAAUAUUAAUAUUUAAUAAAAUAAGUAUUUUUGAUUUAUUAUAU
Molecule: long non-coding RNA, 208 nt
Filed under: Elaeis guineensis (African oil palm)
Lineage: Eukaryota; Viridiplantae; Streptophyta; Magnoliopsida; Arecales; Arecaceae
Description: long non-coding RNA (EGUI_LNC079418)
Source: RNAcentral